Molecule: long non-coding RNA, 1225 nt
Organism: Notolabrus celidotus (New Zealand spotty)
Lineage: Eukaryota; Metazoa; Chordata; Actinopteri; Labriformes; Labridae
Exons: 3
Source: RefSeq, a predicted model, not a curated record
UCCAAUUUAUUUCACUGCUGUCUUAUGUCACAUCAGUGUUUAAUCACCCUGUGUGUAUAGGAUCAUCGUUCCUCCUCCCUCCUCAUUCUCCCUGAGGUUGUUCUUGUAUUUCUGUGAUCUUUAGUUGGACAUUUUCGGAUUCAUGCCAUGGACAUUUUGCUUAUUCGAGCAGGGUCCCGGGGGCAGUAGUCUCAGCAGUCUCAGCAGGGAAGCCCAGACACUCCUCUUCCCGGUCACUUUCCCAGGCCAGCUGAGGGAUGUAAUCUCGCCAGUGUGUCCCUGGUCUUUCCAUUAUUAACAACAUAAACAAGAUCAACACAGGCUGACGGGUCUCUGGAGUUAUGACCCCUUUACAAAGUUUGGACCCACAGACAUCAACAAAGGAGGAGCCUGAACGUUAAACCUGACCUGAGCAGCCAAUCGAGAGCAGCUCAGUCCCACAUGUGUUGAAUUAAAUCCUCCUGCUGCAUCCCAGAAUGCCUCUGAGACCGGCCCGGCUCAUAAAUCACCAUGAUAUACAACCAGAACAGACACACACACAGAGCUGGCUUUUGCUGCUACCUCUUUCUUAGCAAUUACCUCUUUGCUUUUCACAGCAUGACUCAGCAACACACUCCCAACCAGAAAGCAUCCGAAGGCAUUUUUUAAAAAGUUGUGAGGACAGGGAGAUAAGUGGUGGUGAGAAGAAUAGUCUGGAUGAAGGAGGAGCAGGGGACGGGGUAUAAUUUCCAUGCAAAUUAACCAUGUGGUACGAAUCUCACUUUGACGUUUCUCAUGUUUCCCAGCUGUACGUUUCUUAUGCAACCUUACGGGAAACAAGCCUUUUCUGUCUCUGCCUGAGCUGCGUGUGAUUAAAAAAACAUAAAGGCACAAUACGGUUUAUAUAUGAGUCACUGAAUGAGCCUUUUCUGCAUGGGGUUUUAUUUUGACAGUUAAAAUACACUCCAGAAAACACCAUGAAAGAAAGCGCUUCAUCUUUGAAAGCAGGACACGUAUGAAUUAAAGCCAAUGUAGGUGAUCCCUUUGUUUCCUUUAAACCUGCAAUCAUUAUGUGCCAUCACUGAAAGAUGACUUCCUCGGGUAUUCAGAGUAUUUUAAGAUGACUGGUGUCAGAAAUUUUUGCACGAGUUACAUCAAUAAUCUGCUGUUUUCAUGUUGCCUUGACUGGGGAAUAGUCAGUAGUGUUUUACUAGAUGAAGACUACAUUUCCCAUGAGCAUCGUCAC